Molecule: long non-coding RNA, 619 nt
Filed under: Mustela putorius furo (domestic ferret)
Lineage: Eukaryota; Metazoa; Chordata; Mammalia; Carnivora; Mustelidae
Description: lncRNA (ENSMPUG00000030221.1)
Source: RNAcentral
GGAGCGAGCCCCCAGUGCUGGGCCCGGAGAGAGGUGGACCCAUCACAAGGGGCAUCAUGGGCCUUCCUCCCCCCAGUCGAUCCGGAUCAUCAGUCGGGACGACUUGGAUGAGCACUUGCUAUGCGCUUGGCACUGUGCCUGAAUCCCUGACGUGUACCCUCGUGGCUCUCAGGGGAGGUCGGUGCUGUUACCAGGAAAGUGGCCUCCUCACUCCUGACCCUGCAUGCUUCUGGGGAUCUUGGCAGAGUCCUUCAGUUCCUGCCUAAGGAGAACUGAGCCCUCUCCCCAUGGACGUGCCUGCCACUCAGGUAUCUUUUAUCCCCUGUAGACCCUGUCAGCGUCUUCCAACAUGGGGACACCACAGCUUUCCACAGAAGGGACACAACGCCAUGCAGUCAUUAAAACCAGCAGUUUGGUUUUAAUCGGCCUGAAUUCAUGUCUAGCUCUUCCUCUUUCUUCCCACCUGUGUGAACCUGGACAAGUAGCUUCCUGGCUCUGGGAUUCUAUUGUCUCAUGUUUAAGUUGGGAAUAAUAAAAGACAUCUUCUCAUUAAAUCUCUUAAACAGCCCUCCAAGGUAUAAGCAUUGUCCCCAUAUUAUAGACGAGCAACCAGACAUAG